Molecule: ribosomal RNA, 259 nt
Filed under: uncultured prokaryote
Description: partial 16S ribosomal RNA
Rfam family: Bacterial small subunit ribosomal RNA
Source: RNAcentral
UACGUAGGGUGCGAGCGUUGUCUGGAAUUAUUGGGCGUAAAGAGCUUGUAGGCGGUUUGUCGCGUCUGCUGUGAAAAUCCGGGGCUCAACCCCGGACUUGCAGUGGGUACGGGCAGACUAGAGUGUGGUAGGGGAGACUGGAAUUCCUGGUGUAGCGGUGAAAUGCGCAGAUAUCAGGAGGAACACCGAUGGCGAAGGCAGGUCUCUGGGCCACUACUGACGCUGAGAAGCGAAAGCAUGGGGAGCGAACAGGAUUAGA